This 376-nucleotide unclassified non-coding RNA is filed under the name soil metagenome. RNAcentral's name for it is "partial contains 5.8S ribosomal RNA, internal transcribed spacer 2, and large subunit ribosomal RNA". The stretch from base 1 to 120 matches the Rfam family "5.8S ribosomal RNA", at positions 35 to 154 of the family's 154-position model. The record is from RNAcentral.
GAUGAAGAACGCAGCGAAAUGCGAUAAGUAAUGUGAAUUGCAGAAUUCAGUGAAUCAUCGAAUCUUUGAACGCAUCUUGCGCUCCUUGGUAUUCUGAGGAGCAUGCCUGUUUGAGUGUCAUUAAAUUCUCAACUACACUGACUUUGAAUUGGUGUGGCUUGGAUUUGGGUGGGAAAAUUGUUGUGGGCUUUUUGUAUAGUCUGCUCCCCUGAAAUUGAUUAGCGGUACCUUUGUGGAACUGUCUACAGGUGUGAUAAUUAUCUACAUCCUAGACAUCUGCUGGAAUGCUGCUUUCUAAACCUUACUUGUAUUGACAAUCUUGACCUCAAAUCAGGUAGGACUACCCGCUGAACUUAAGCAUAUCAAUAGCGGAGGA